CCGAGUACUUAACUCAUAACCCUUUGUGAACCUUUAUAACCUGUUGCUUCGGCGGCGCGCGCCCCCCGGGGCCGCGCCCGCCGGUACCAUCAGAAUCUCUGUUUGAACCCGACGAUAUAUCUGAGUGUUCUAAGCGAACUGUUA
RNAcentral lists this unclassified non-coding RNA (144 nucleotides) under uncultured Ascomycota. RNAcentral's name for it is "sequence contains ITS1". The record is from RNAcentral. Lineage: Eukaryota; Fungi; Ascomycota.